This is a non-coding RNA of Drosophila melanogaster (fruit fly), 2481 nucleotides long. The record is from Ensembl. Lineage: Eukaryota; Metazoa; Arthropoda; Insecta; Diptera; Drosophilidae.
UAGAAACACUGGCUGUAUACAAUGCAGUAAAACAUUUUUGCCAGUACCUACAUGGCCGCCCGUUUGUGGUUUAUACAGACCUCAAGUCGCUUAAGGCUACAUCUACCUUAUGGCAUUUGUCACCAAGAGUCCAUCGAUGGUGGGCAAAUUUACAGGCGUGUGAGUUUAAGAUUGACUAUAGAAAAGAACAAAGUAUGGCGCAUGUAGACUUUCUGUCUAGAAACCCACUACCAGAUCCUAGACUCUUAUAUGUCGCUAAGGUAACUGAAGUUCGUGUAGAGUUGUCUGAAAUAACUGGUUGCUUGCGGAACAGCGUAGAGAUAAAGAAAUUUCUGAACUAGUUACAAAGCUGCAAAAUAACGAAUUGGAAUACGAAUUAGCAAAGACUUACGAACUAAGGUCUGGCAUGUUGCAUAUAAAAAAACAGAGAAAUGGCUGAAAUAGAUACCUGCCAGUAAGCUGUAAUGCAUUUGGGCUGGGAAAAGACCUUGGAUAAAGUAUACACACAGUAUAGGUUAAAUAUAUGUCCAAAUAUGUGAGAAAGUUUGUAGAGAAUUGCAAAUCAUUUUACCAGUAAUGAUUUUAAACAGUUCUGUUUAUUUCAAAAGAUUGAGUUACACCUAAUUGCUACGGAAGCUAGCCGCGCAAACGGUCAGGUUGAGCGCGUAACGAGCAUUUUGAAGGCUAUGCUAACCGCUGUAGAGACGAGUAGUAGAUCGUGGCAGGAAGCUUUAAAGGAAGUUCAGUUGGCUAUGAAUUACACAGCUGAUCGCGUCACAAAAAUGAGUCCUUGAGAACUAUUGAUUGGUAAGGAAGCUAGACCAAUGGGCAUGAUGCCAAUGAUAAGGAAGUAAGGAAGCUAGACCAAUGGGCAUGAUGCCAAUGAAGAAGAAAAGAUUGAUGUAGAACAUGUUAGAGAUACGGCCUUGCAAAAUAUAAAAAAAAAUGCUGAAUAUGACAAGCAAAAAUUUAAUGAGAAUAAAACUAAGAUUGUCCUAUUCAAUGUAUUCUCAAGAGUGAAGAACGGCAUCAAACAAAGUUAGACCCAAAGUUUAAGGCUCCAUUUAUGAUAACGGAAAAGCUUGAUGGUGACCGAUAUGUGUUGACAUCUUUGGCAAGCAAAAUAAUGUAUAAUUACGCCCACGAACAGUUACGGUCGAUGCCUGUUGAGGUAGACACAGACCAAUGCACUCGUAGAGACCAUAGGCUCUAGUUAAAUUAUUCACAAGGCUACAGUUACACCAUAUGGUUAUCUGCGCAGUGACCAUGUGGCGGGGGCUGUGAGGGUCCAGAGGGACAAUGACGUAUGAGGAUGCGUGAGAUCGUUGCAAGGAGUGUAGCAAGAGCUUGAGAGUGUGACAUAAUAGAAACAAAGAGAGAGAAUGGUAAAGUAAGGAAUGAAAUGGAGAAAGAGGUGUGGCAAGAAAUACGAUUACUGUUUGAUCAAAAGAAAUGAAGUCAGAAAAUGUAAACUGCGAAAACAAGCUGGAGCAAGGCAAGGGAUGCCCAUAUGUUGAUUAAUAAACAUUGAUUGGAUAUUGAUGAAAUAUUAAAAUAAAAUGAAUGAAGAUAGAAAGUGUUAUGUAAAAUGUAAAGAACUAUGUAAUGCGAUACAACACACGAGGUCGUGAGCAUGUCAGGAAGGCCGUGUCGGAGAUUGAGUAGAUCUAUAACGUAUUAUUUGAAUGUAACCGAAUAUAUUUUAUUAAUCCGUUAUGUUGAACAUGAACAACGAAUAAUAAAAUUCACGGAAAGCGUUCCGUUAUUGAGUGAGCAUCAUUUGUGCGUGUAUUUAAUGAGCAUGGCGCCAUUUGUGCGUGUAUUCAAGUGAGCAUGGCGCCUGUUGUUGUUUUGGUAGAGUUUCGCAGAAACGAAGUAAGAAUGAUGAAAUGAGUGAAGUUGAGGAAUAGAAGAAAAGCAUCGAGAGAGCGACGCUUGAGUUAAUUAGUCUGGUGAGAGCGAUAGAAGAAACAACACGCAGGGGACUGGCUGUGCUGCACAAUAUGGACGCUAAAGUGGAAGAAAAGACGGGCUCUGCUUUUCCGAAAUAUACUUAUAAAGGAAUUAAUACCCCAUAUAUAGGGGUAUAUCUAUCACUUAGUAUUUUGUUCUUGUAAUAUAUAAUUAGGAGCAGUGUAAAUUAUCUGUUUUUGUGAGUAAAUUAAUUAGUAUAAUGGUUUGCAUGUAAAAUAUGUUCCGAUGUUGCAUACAUAUAAGGUUAAUAUAUUAAAACUAAUAUAUUUGAAUUUCUAUGACUUUUUAGGUACUCUGAAUGAAUUGAAGCCUGUGAUUGGUAAACUGGAAAUCUAUUUAUUGGCACGACAAAGUUGUUUGGACACUUAUUCCCAACCAAAUUCUAUACUUGGACACAUUUUAGGAUUAAAUGAGAUUGGAAGUACCCAGAUUAUAUAUAGUAAAUAUAGAAUAUGUAAGGGAAAGGAUGUAGAUAUAAAAAAUGAGGAUAUAUUAAAACAUUUAAUU